AGCAGCCGCGGUAAUUCCAGCUCCAAUAGCGUAUAUUAAAGUUGUUGCAGUUAAAAAGCUCGUAGUUGAAUUUCGGGGUUAGCAGGUCGGUCGUGCCAUCGGUAUGAACUGGUCUCGCUGAUCCCUCCCUCUUGACGAACUGUGAUGCCAUUAAUUUGGUGUCGCAGGGAAUCAGGACUGUUACUUUGAAAAAAUUAGAGUGUUUAAAGCAGGCUCACGCUUGAAUACAUUAGCAUGGAAUAAUGAAAUAGGACGUUUGAUCCUAUUUUGUUGGUUUCUAGGAUUGACGUAAUGAUUAAUAGGGAUAGUUGGGGGCAUUAGUAUUCAAUUGUCAGAGGUGAAAUUCUUGGAUUUAUUGAAGACUAACUACUGCGAAAGCAUUUGCCAAGGAUGUUUUCAUUAAUCAAGAACGAAAGUUAGGGGAUCGAAGACGAUCAGAUACCGUCGUAGUCUUAACCAUAAACUAUGCCGACUAGGGAUCGGAUGAUGUUAAUUUUUUAAUGACUCU
This 508-nucleotide unclassified non-coding RNA is filed under the name uncultured Glomus. RNAcentral describes it as "SSU rRNA". It matches the Rfam family "Eukaryotic small subunit ribosomal RNA", at positions 569 to 1078 of the family's 1831-position model. The record is from RNAcentral. Lineage: Eukaryota; Fungi; Glomeromycota; Glomeromycetes; Glomerales; Glomeraceae.